GAUACCAGUGUCAAAAGGUCAAAAAGCUGUUCGUGCUUGCACGAUAAGGCUUUUGAACUUGGGACACGCCAAAUAUAAGAAAGUAUCGAUUUACGCAGUAAAUCAGCGGAUUGCGAAUGUUUAUAGAAUUGCGGGAGCUGCUUUGCAGCGGAGCAAUUCGUAGGCAUC
This 168-nucleotide small RNA is filed under the name human gut metagenome. RNAcentral's name for it is "Clostridiales-1 RNA". It matches the Rfam family "Clostridiales-1 RNA". The record is from RNAcentral.